GGUUUUCAGGCAGUGUAGUUAGCUGAUUGUGUUAACAUAAGACUUGCAAUCACUAGCUAAACUACCAGCAAAAC
This is a non-coding RNA of Xenopus tropicalis (tropical clawed frog), 74 nucleotides long. NCBI's taxonomy places the organism in Eukaryota, Metazoa, Chordata, Amphibia, Anura, Pipidae. The record is from Rfam.